RNAcentral lists this unclassified non-coding RNA (2871 nucleotides) under Hevea brasiliensis (rubber tree). Lineage: Eukaryota; Viridiplantae; Streptophyta; Magnoliopsida; Malpighiales; Euphorbiaceae. The record is from RNAcentral.
GUUGGCAAAUUUUUCGCUUAUUUUCCUUAUACAUUAAUAACCAUUUCAAUUAAAUACUCAUUAAUUACAAUUUACUGUUUUAUAAUACAAGCGAUAAAGAUUAAAAUGUUAAAAGCCUCGUGUUAUUCACCUUGAAGACAAUCAAAUGAAAAUAAAAAUAAAAAUAAAAAUAAAAGGGGGACAAAUCCACAGCAACAUUUCAUCUUCCCUUUUGGUUCAUAAUUUCCGAGAAUACAGUGUCAGAACUCAUUCUAUCAGGAUCAGUUUUGGAGAUACUCCUUUCACCACUACUAAUCGUGCUCUUGGAUCCAUGCUUGUGUCCACCUGAGACGCUAAACAAGUCAUCAUCAUCAGUAGUUAUAGCUUCUCCACGCAACAACAAUGGACUUUCCUGCUCCUCACUCACUCUAUCAAUACUAUUUCUAGUGUUCUCAGCAGUCUCUUGAAGCUGCAAAGCAAACUCAAGCCCACAAACCACAUCGCUCAUUGUUGGCCUUUGUGUUCCUUGGUCACGCAGGCAACUCUCAGCAAUCUCUCCAAAUUUCUCCAAACAGACAGGGUCACUAUUACCCCUCAAAUAGGGGUCCAUUAUCUGAUCAAUGGCUCCUCUUCUACAGCAAAUCCGAGCCCAAUCAGCUAAAUUGACUUGCUCUUUUGGUAGUCCUGGAAUCACUGGCGGCCUAGCACAGAGCAACUCAAACAGAACUACUCCAAAUGAGUACACAUCAGAUUUUUCCGUGAGGUGUUGCCGACGGUAGUACUCUGGAUCCACGUACCCAAAACUUCCCCUAACUACAGUGCUAACGUGCGUUUGGGAGUCGCUGGUGGGACCCAUUCUUGACAAACCAAAGUCUGAAACCUUGGCCACCCAAUUCUCAUCUAUCAAUAUGUUCGUUGACUUCACAUCGCGGUGAAUGAUGGGGUGCUUCGCACCUGUAUGAAGAUAAUGGAGUCCUCGUGCAGCUCCAAUGCAGAUCUCUAGCCUCCGUUUCCAUGGAAGAGGAGGAUUCCUGGUUUUGUAGAGAUGAUCGCGGAGGGUCCCGCGAUGCAUAUACUCGUAAACAAGGAUCAUUUCACCAGGAUCAUCGCAGUAUCCAAUCAGUGACACAAGAUGGGGAUUGUGAAGCUCGGACAGCAUGUCGAUUUCCGUCCUGAACUCGCGAGUCCCUUGCCUUGAUGAUGAAUCCAACCGCUUAAUUGCAACUGGAGUAGCACCAUCGUCUAUAAGCCCUUUAUAAACAUUUCCAAAUCCCCCAGAUCCAAUAACAAAUUCAUCAUCGAAUUUGGACGUGGCCACUUCAAUCUCGAAGAUGGAGAAUCGCCGACUAGUGUUUGAAGGCCUCAGCGAAGCCUUUGUAACUGAGGACCUUAAAGUGUGGGAGAAAGGGAACCGGAAGGAUUUGGCCUCACUCUUUUCAAAGUCCUUCACUCUCCUCUGUUUAAAAACAAAGAAACAAAUAACAAGAGAGAGCGCUAGCAUACCCCCAAAAACAGAACCAACAACGAUUACUACCAAAAAUCUUUUCUCGUUAGUCUUCACUUUCAAUUUUGGAAGGUUUUCUGGUGGUGGACUACCCGCCAAUAAUUCAGGGCCGGGAGAGGCUAGACUACCGCCUGAAUUAUUCAACUUGAAUAUCUCUAGGCCGUUCAAGAAAGCAUCAGCAUAUGUACGUUUUUUAUCAAAAUUGGGGUGUAAAGCGAGACACAAGUACUGCUUACUAUGGCUGCCUUUGGGGAUCCACAAGACGUAGUCUUUAUACAGUGGAACACUGUUACCGCCGGACCAGAGCAUUAUAUCUGCGUAUGGCUCAGCUGUUUGAUUGUUGAUGAAUAUAUAAAACACCACUUGGUCACUUCUUGUGACCUCAGGUCGAAACUCACAAAAAUGGAGCCUAACAAGAUAAUUGAAACCAGCAUCAAUGGAGAAGUACCAUGUAAGAUUGUAAUUCAGGUUACGAUGUGAAUCGGGACCCAUAAAACGCAUGCUACCAUAUACCAUUACAGGUGCAGUGUAGGCUGGUGUCUUCAUUGUAUACUGUAUUUUGACAUCAGGUGGUAUAAUUGCAAACCCAAGUGCCCCACUAAAGAUGUAAUUUAAAUCUUGAAGCCAUGUCCUAUGCAUUCCAGUGUCAUCUUUCCCGCUGAUAUCUUGUCCACCAACAUUUAGCCGAUAAAAUUUCUCAAGAGCGGUGGUGUUAUCCAAAUAAAAUGGGUUACUAUCGAUGCCCACAUAAGGAAGUGGAUUAUUGUUGCCGCUGGCAUAGAGGUUGUUGGGCAUCGAAACUAUCUCGAUGCCAUUUAUGAAGGCAAAAGAACUUGGAGAAGGAGAGAAUGUCAGAUCAAGCUUCUGGUUAUCCCACACGGUAAUGAUAUACUCUUUGAUGAAGGAGGCGACAGAAGGUUUCAUAGCAGAAACAGUGAGAAAAGCACUAAAAUUGUUGAGGAGAGUGUAAGUAUUGGCACUAAGAGAGAAACGGGAUUUGGAAAUGUCAAGAUUGGAGUAAGUAGCUGGAUAGAAGUAGAGACGAACAAACUUUGGGCCAGGCGAGACGGGAAAGGUGUAGGUGAAUUGCGAUUGAAAAAUACGGGCUGUCAUAUAUGGAACUUGGGUUACUGAUGGGUCUUGUUGAGAAGCUGUAAACGCAGAUGAUGCUGUUUCAGGGUUAGAGGCAUGAAAUUUGGAGUCGGCAUCUCCAUCCCAAGUGCGUCCAUCCAGCGAUGUAGAACUAGACGAUGCGCCACAAUCCAGGAGGAUGAGGUCUACAGGAGUAUAUGACAGUGAUUUCUUGAUACCGGUUACAGAAGGGAGGAGGUGGAGGAGCAACACUAGACAGAUACCUGGAUGAUCUCGGAGCGACAUUGAUCUUGAAC